Molecule: ribosomal RNA, 549 nt
Filed under: uncultured bacterium
Lineage: Bacteria
Description: bacterial SSU rRNA
Rfam family: Bacterial small subunit ribosomal RNA
Source: RNAcentral
AAUAGAUACCCUGGUAGUCCAUGCCGUAAACGUUGGGCACUAGGUGUGGGGGGGCAUUCCACGUUUCCCGCGCCGUAGCUAACGCAUUAAGUGCCCCGCCUGGGGAGUACGGCCGCAAGGCUAAAACUCAAAGGAAUUGACGGGGGCCCGCACAAGCGGCGGAGCAUGCGGAUUAAUUCGAUGCAACGCGAAGAACCUUACCAAGGCUUGACAUGGGCCGGAUCGCCGCAGAGAUGUGGUUUCCCCUUUUGGGGCCGGUUCACAGGUGGUGCAUGGUUGUCGUCAGCUCGUGUCGUGGGAUGUUGGGUUAAGUCCCGCAACGAGCGCAACCCUCGUUCUAUGUUGCCAGCGGUUCGGCCGGGGACUCAUAGGAGACUGCCGGGGUCAACUCGGAGGAAGGUGGGGACGACGUCAAAUCAUCAUGCCCCUUAUGUCUUGGGCUUCACGCAUGCUACAAUGGCCGGUACAAAGGGUUGCGAUACUGUGAGGUGGAGCUAAUCCCAAAAAGCCGGUCUCAGUUCGGAUUGGGGUCUGCAACUCGACCCCAUG